RNAcentral lists this ribosomal RNA (482 nucleotides) under uncultured bacterium. Its description in RNAcentral is "partial 16S ribosomal RNA". It matches the Rfam family "Bacterial small subunit ribosomal RNA", at positions 30 to 507 of the family's 1533-position model. The record is from RNAcentral.
AUUGAACGCUGGCGGCAUGCUUUACACAUGCAAGUCGAACGGUAACAGGCCGCAAGGUGCUGACGAGUGGCGCACGGGGGAGUAAUGCAUCUGAACGUGCCCAGUCGUGGGGGAUAACUACUCGAAAGAGUAGCUAAUACCGCAUACGAUCUAUGGAUGAAAGCGGGGGACCGUAAGGCCUCGCGCGAUUGGAGCGGCCGAUGUGAGAUUAGGUAGUUGGUGGGGUAAAGGCUCACCCAGCCAACGAUCUGUAUCUGGUCUGAGAGGACGAACAGCCACACUGGGACUGAGAAACGGCCCAGACUCCUACGGGAGGGAGCAGUGGGGAAUUUUGGACAAUGGGCGCAAGCCUGAUCCAGCCAUGCCGCGUGCAGGAAGAAGGCCUUCGGGUUGUAAAAUGCUUUUGUACGGAAAGAAACGGCUCUGGUUAAUACCCGGGGCUAAUGACGGUACCGUAAGAAUAAGCACCGGCUAAAUACGUG